GCCGCCCCUCCCCCCGCCUUUUCCUCCAUCUCUCUUACUCUCUAUCCGAGCCUCUCCACCCGCUCAGCAGGGAGCGUUGUGAGUUUCUUUCGAACAAAGUUUAAAGAUCUCUGUUUGAACCCAAGCCAUCCGCAAUCAGACUGCAUUUCUAAUCCUCCCUCCCUCUCUCCCUCCCUCACACAUACACACACAGUCUGUCUCUUUCUCCCUUUCAGUCAAUCCCCUUCCUCUCUUGGUCCUACUCAAGCCUUUUCCCACCCCCGACUCUGCCUCGGCGAUGAGUCCGCUGUCUGGAUCCCUUUUCCCAGGCGUGGGCUGAGGACCCAGCGGUUCGGCAGCGGGGAUCAUCGCACGACGCUCCCGGACCCCUACAACCUCCUGUUCUCCAGCGGCCUCCAGCAUGACCACCGGGCUGGGAGCAGGCAUCCGGGCUGCCGGAGCGCUCGCUGCUCAGUGGCUCAGUCUUGCGCCGCCUUUGCCGGGAGCGGGGAUCCGAGGUGGGAGAAGGCCUCUUCGCCCGGCUCCUGGGCACAGCUACCUGCCUGAACAGCUGCCUGGCACCGAGCCUGCGCUCCCCGAGCACCCGGCCGCGGGUCCGCGACGCCUUCCGGGGCUGAGUAGCCGAAAACUAUCUCCUACUGCAAGAAUCUACCCCGGAAGAGAGAGCCCAGAGAAUUGCCCAAGCUGUCUGCAAACAGUCAAUUGACGUGAAGGAAAAUUGGGACCAAUUGAAAACCCAUGCGAGCAACUGGCAGAAACAGGUGGAAAAGGCGUUAGAGAAACUUCAAGAACCGCAGAAAGCUCUGGAUGAUCUUGAGUCUCAUGUGAUAACAGCUGAGGGGGUCCACACUGAUUGGCAACCUGUGAAUGACCUGUUUAUUGACGCAUUGCAGGAUCACAUUGAUAAAACCACAGGUAAGGACUGCCUGCAAAAUCUGAGAUUGGGUUUUGAAAGACAUCAACCUUUGCUUGCGAGAGAUAAUGGUAACUGCAGAUGCUAGAGAAUGCGAGAUAACAAUGUGUGGAGCUGGAUGAACACAGCAGGCCAAGCAGCAUCUCAGGAGCACAAAAGCUGACAUUUCGGGCCUCGACCCUUCAUGCGAGAGAACGUAACGUUUUUAAAGAAGAAAUUGCCCCAGUCAAACAAGAAGUCAAAAUAUUAAAUGAUCUGGCCAGUCAGUUAUCUCCGCUUGAUGUCUCUUUCUCUCCAAAGAUUUCUCACCAGCUUGAUGACCUAAAUAUGAGGUUGAAAUUUAUACAGCAGCAGGAGGUGAGGAGGCAGAGACUGCAACCCUGAGGUCACGGAGGGAAGGAAAAGAGGCUCUUACUUGGAGAUUGAGAAGCAGGAGAGGGCACAACCCAGAGGUUUGGGAGUGGAGAGAGGCUGCAAGUUGGAGGUCAAGCCACCAGACUCAGAGUACCUGUUGGGACCAUCCAAAAAUGACUGAACAUUUUCACUCAUUAGGUAAGUAGAUUGAUAAUAGGACUCUGGUUCUGUGCCACUGUCAGAUCAUUGCGACUCCAAAAGGUACCAAAGUAAAUUCUGGAUUCUAGGCAAAUAUACCUAUGUGUUUAGAUCUAUUUAGAUGCAUUCAUGUAGGCUAAAAAUACUUGAAAUAAUGUAUAAUUAGGAGUGACAGACAACAUCUGUGACAUUAAAUGAAAAACAAGAACAAAGAACUUUGGUUCAUAUUUCAGCUUCGACAGGCACUAAACAACUAAAAGCACUGUAUAACCAAUGAAGUAAGUUUUUGAAGUAUGUUUGUAAUGUCGGAAACACAGCAACAAAUAUAUGCGCAGAAGGCUUUCACAAACAGAACUGUAAAAAUGACCACUUACUUUGUGAUAUUGAUUGAAUGCUAAGUGUUGGCCAGAAUGUAGAUCCACUGAACUGAAUACAGGUGGUUUGUGGGUAAGAAAGUCUUAACCCUUUGGACAAACCUAAUUUUAUUUGUAAUUUAUUAGCAAUAACUGAAUUGUGCAGUUUAAGUUCAGAAGUUCCCAAUUUUAAGUGGAGUUUUAACAAAUUCACCUUUGAAGAGCGUUUGGGCUUGAUGAACCCAAGUCUCAACUGAGUUAACUCAGCCUUUUGUGUUAGGGAUGUAUAAAUUAUCCAUCUUAGGGGAGGCGAUGGCCUCACGGUAUUGUCACUGGACUGUUCAUCCAGAGAGACAAAUCAUGUUCUGGGGACCUGGAUUCAAAUCCCGCUGUGGCAGAUGGUGGAAUUUGAAUUCAAUAAAUAUCCGGAAUUCACAAUCUGAUGAUGACCAUGAAUCUGUUGUUGCUUGUUGGAAAAGCUCAUCAGGUUCCCGAAUGCCUUUUAGGGAAGGAAACUGUCAUCCUUACCUGGCCUGGUCUGCAUGUGACUCCAGACCCACAGCAAUGUGGUUGACUUUUAACUGCCCUCUGGGUAAUCAGGGCUGGGCAAUAAAUGCUGCCUCGCCAGUGACGCCCUCGACGAGAUUGAAUCAAGAAAAAAAAUUACGAUUGCCUUUUCUAACUUCUCAGCCUUCAGUAAUUGAUUCUCCCAGUGCUAGAGAAGAAGUGGUGACUGUGGCUUAUUCUAUUCCCAAGGUUUAACAUGAUGCAACUGAUGGUAAAGUUAAUAAGCUUUAUGAAAACAUAAGUAAAUAUAUAUAAUUAAAUAAAAAUAGCAAAGUCAUUAAUUAGAACUCGGCUACAACAUGUAAGAGCUCCUGUGUUCCAGUAUGGUCUGGUGCAAGCAUGUUUGCUGUAAGCACUUAAUGUUUGAGUAGCUUGUGUUUAUGAGCUGGAGGCUGAUCUAGGGAUGCUGGGACACAUCAGGAGGGGAGCAAGUGACCUGGAUUCUUUGCACCAAGAGGCAGUCACAGCCCUUAAGUUUGUGUUUGUCUGAUUUGGUCAGUCUUCAGGCACAGGAGAGGUCGAUGGUGGAGGUUCAUUACGCUAAUACUGGGGAAAGUUGGACUGUCCUGUGGUGAGUUAUGGAUUCAACUGGGCCUGUGUUCAUGAGAGUUUAAAAAGAUGA
Molecule: long non-coding RNA, 3007 nt
Organism: Stegostoma tigrinum
Lineage: Eukaryota; Metazoa; Chordata; Chondrichthyes; Orectolobiformes; Stegostomatidae
Exons: 6
Source: RefSeq, a predicted model, not a curated record